RNAcentral lists this unclassified non-coding RNA (249 nucleotides) under Colletotrichum pyrifoliae. RNAcentral describes it as "partial contains 5.8S ribosomal RNA, internal transcribed spacer 2, and large subunit ribosomal RNA". The record is from RNAcentral. Lineage: Eukaryota; Fungi; Ascomycota; Sordariomycetes; Glomerellales; Glomerellaceae.
CGCACAUUGCGCCCGCCAGCAUUCUGGCGGGCAUGCCUGUUCGAGCGUCAUUUCAACCCUCAAGCACUGCUUGGUGUUGGGGCCCUACGGUUGACGUAGGCCCUCAAAGGUAGUGGCGGACCCUCCCGGAGCCUCCUUUGCGUAGUAACUUUACGUCUCGCACUGGGAUCCGGAGGGACUCUUGCCGUAAAACCCCCCAAUUUUUACAAGGUUGACCUCGGAUCAGGUAGGAAUACCCGCUGAACUUAA